GAUGAAGAACGUAGCGAAAUGCGAUACUUGGUGUGAAUUGCAGAAUCCCGUGAACCAUCGAGUCUUUGAACGCAAGUUGCGCCCGAAGCCAUUAGACCGAGGGCACGCCUGCCUGGGCGUCACACGUCGUUGCCCCCCCAUCUACUCCUUCGGGAUUGCGGGGGGCGGAUGAUGGCCUCUCGUGCGCCUCGUCGCGCGGUUGGCCUAAAUGCCAAGUCCUCGGCGACGCACGCCACGACAAUCGGUGGUUGCGAAACCUCGGUUGCCUGUCGUGUGCGGUCGUCGCGCAUCGAGGGCUCGAAAAAAUUGCCGGGCUUCGGCUCGACUUUCAACGCGACCCCAGGUCAGGCGGGGUUACCCGCUGAAUUUAAGCAUAUCAAUAAGCGGAGGA
This 391-nucleotide unclassified non-coding RNA is filed under the name soil metagenome. RNAcentral describes it as "partial contains 5.8S ribosomal RNA, internal transcribed spacer 2, and large subunit ribosomal RNA". The stretch from base 1 to 122 matches the Rfam family "5.8S ribosomal RNA", at positions 35 to 154 of the family's 154-position model. The record is from RNAcentral.